CCCAGACCAGUAGUGAGAGGUGGUGAUGACUCCCAGACCAGUAGUGAGAGGUGGUGAUGACUCCCAGACCAGUAGUGAGAGGUGGUGAUGACUCCCAGACCAGUAGUGAGAGGUGGUGAUGACUC
Homarus americanus (American lobster) is the source of this 125-nucleotide long non-coding RNA. RefSeq lists it as uncharacterized. Lineage: Eukaryota; Metazoa; Arthropoda; Malacostraca; Decapoda; Nephropidae. The transcript has 3 exons. The record is from RefSeq and is a predicted model, not a curated record.